GUAGUGAACAGUUGUUAUGUCGGUGGAGUUUACUAUAAAUUUUGUGUGUGUGUGUAUGUAUGUGCACACCCAGUGAUUACAAUGAGAGAAAGAGAAACAAAAAUAGAGUAAUUAUAGAAUUAAAGAGUGAGAGCAGAGAUGGGCAAUGAGGUUCGAGAGUUCACAGAGGGCUGGAAGUUUGAUGUCCAAAUGUUUCAGUGGUGAUUUAUGUCUCAGUUUUCAGGUACCGAGGAUGAGCUUGGAUCGCUAGUUUCGGGCUUAGGUGGAAGAGUUGGUGUUGAGGAUAUUAUUUAAUUUUAUUUAGAGAAUUUUAUAUUUAUUUGAGGAUAUUGAUGUUGUAUCAUCAAUAAAGGAUAUUUUAUUUCUUUUGAGAUCCUGGGUGUAUAUUGAAGUAUUUGGAUUUCUAAAAUUGAGGAAUUUAUUCAGAAAAUUCGGAUCGCGACAGAAUGGUAUCAGAGCCUGUACCCAGCCGGAAGUGUGAGUUUGGUGAUGAUGUUGACAGGUGUGAGUGGGUGAGUGCUUAGUUCUGAUUAGCCACCACUCGUAGCCUGGUGUGUGUGGGCGGGUGUCGUUCACUGACAGCUACUAGGAUGAUCAAUAAUUAUGUUUGGGCAUGUAUUGCCUAGUUUAUUAUUGGUCUUGUUUUUGUGGGCGAGUGACGGCAUCGACUAGUUACCACAAUGGUUAUAGAGUGUGUGGGCGGGUAAUUAGCACUGUUAGCUACCACAACGUUUUUCAUGUCACGGUAUCUCACAUCGCCUGGGGUAAGGAUUUUUGUAUUGUGUUUUGCCACUUUUGAUGUUUUCAGGUAUGCAAAGACUGUUGGAUCUGAAUUUCGGGACGAAAUUCUUUUUAUGUGGUGGAGAAUGUGACAACCCGGAUGUUUAAGAGUUGAAAUUUUAUUUAUUUCAUGAUUUUUAGUUGUCAAGAUUGAGUAUUUAAUUUUGAUUGGAUUUACCCACUUGAUAUUUAAUGGGUUGAAUUUCAUUUGUGUUACAUUAUAUAUAUGUGUGUGUGUGUGUGUGUGUGUGUGUGUGUGUGUGUGUGUGUGUCUGAUGGAAGGCAUUUGGGCUGAAUAAAAAAGGGAACCAACCGAGUUUAGUGAAAAGGAAAGGGAAAAAGAAAUGGAGAUGGAAAAGUGGUAUUGUGGGUCCACUUGAAGAAUGUUUAAAUGGGAUUGAAUUUAGUUUUUUGUUGCAUCUUUACUUAUGAUAUAUAUAUAUAUAUAUAUAUAUUCAUUUUGUAUCAUCUGAUGGAAGAGGAGUAAGCUGGCAGCCGAAAUUGUGACAAAAAGAAAAGGAAAUGUAAUGAUUUUUUCGUGAGACCCAUUAGGAGGAUUUUUGUGUAUAACCUUUUUAACUUUGAUUUUUGCACAUAGGUUGUUUGCAUUGUGUCUGAUGAAUUAUUGUAUAUAAAUUUUAUGAAUGUCUAAAGUAAGAUAAUAUCUUCUGACUCCUUUUUGAGGCGUGGUGGUGAGCAGUUGUUGUGCCGGUGGAGUUUACUAUAAAUUAUGUGUGUGUGCGCGCGCGCACGCAUCGAGUGAUUGCAAUGAGAGAAAGAGAUACAAAAAUAGAGGAAUUAGAGAAUUAAAGAGUGAGAGCAGAGAUGGACAGUGAGGUGUGGGAGUUCACAGAAGUUUAAUGUCCAGAUGUUUCAGUGAUGAUUUGUGUUUCAGUGUAGGGUUCUUCAUACCUUGAAUGGCCUGGAUGAUUUUGUUUUGAAUAUUUUAUUGACUGUUAUUUUGCUAAAAUUGUAUAUAUGUAUUUUGUAUAAGAGCAUAUGUAUUUUUUUGUGAAGCUAAUUUGUAUGAAACUUCUUAAAAUCCUUGUUAUGGUUUUUCCUACUGGGACUUCCCCCGUCUUACCCCCUUUCAGUUUCAGGUACCAAGGAUGAGCUUGGAUCGCUAGAUUCGGGCUUAGGUGGAAGAUUUGAUGUUUAGGAUAUUAUUUAAUUUUAUUUAGAAAAUUUUAUAUCUAUUUGAGGAUAUUUAUGCUGUAUCAAUAAAGGAUAUUUUAUUUCUUUUGAAA
Molecule: long non-coding RNA, 2027 nt
Organism: Cornus florida
Lineage: Eukaryota; Viridiplantae; Streptophyta; Magnoliopsida; Cornales; Cornaceae
Exons: 2
Source: RefSeq, a predicted model, not a curated record